CCCCAGCGCCACAAGUGGGAACCACGUUUAUUGGGUCUAAAGCAUCCGUAGUCGGUUUGGCAAAUGCCCUGUGAAAUCGCAUCGCUUAACGGUGCGGCGUGCAGGGUAGACUACCAAACUAGGGACCAGGAAAGGAAAGCGGUAUUUCUGAGGGAGCGGUAAAAUGUUAUAAUCUCAGAAGGACCACCAAUGGCGAAGGCAGCUUUCUAGAAUGGAUCCGACGAUGAGGGAUGAAAGCUAGGGGAGCGAUCCGG
Molecule: ribosomal RNA, 254 nt
Filed under: uncultured archaeon
Lineage: Archaea
Description: partial 16S ribosomal RNA
Rfam family: Archaeal small subunit ribosomal RNA
Source: RNAcentral